This is a non-coding RNA of Danio rerio (zebrafish), 515 nucleotides long. Lineage: Eukaryota; Metazoa; Chordata; Actinopteri; Cypriniformes; Danionidae. The record is from RefSeq and is a predicted model, not a curated record.
CUACGCAGAGCCCUGCGGAGACCCAGCCGUAACCCGGCUCCCUCAUCACAGCGACAGGGAGAGAAAAUGUCAGCCCGCUGAAGCCAGUUUCUCAUCCAGAGUCACAGCCUGGAGCCAGAGAGACAAUCCUGCAAGACGCCAGAUCGCCUGGAACUGCUUUAGUCCAACGCUUCCAAUGAACCGCUAGAGGAACAAAGGCAAGCAUCCCGCCUUCGUGUUUGUCUCGGAGAAGCAGCACAUGUGGCGCGUUGAUAACUGCAUGCUCGAGUGUUCGCUUUAUUCUGACGUGUCCUCACGUGCAUUUAGCAGCAUGCAAGGGGCUGGCGGAAAAGGUUGAGAAGGUUUCAAUUCAAUUUAGGUAUGCCAAUUUUAAUUGGAUGUAACAAUAAUGCUAUUUGUCCAGUGUAGCAUUACAAAGACGAACACGGAUCCUCUUCCCGAAAACUCAGUUAGGGCAGCGUGCUGCAGGCAUAAGACGUUCUUUUGUUGGCCAAAACUAAUAAAUGAGCCUUUUU